UACGAAGGGGGGCUAGCGUUGUUCGGAAUCACUGGGCGUAAAGCGCACGUAGGCGGAUUUUUAAGUCAGGGGUGAAAUCCCGGGGCUCAACCUCGGAACUGCCUUUGAUACUGGAGAUCUUGAGUCCGGAAGAGGUAAGUGGAACUGCGAGUGUAGAGGUGAAAUUCGUAGAUAUUCGCAAGAACACCAGUGGCGAAGGCGGCUUACUGGUCCGGAACUGACGCUGAGGUGUGAAAGCGUGGGGAGCAAACAGG
This 254-nucleotide ribosomal RNA is filed under the name uncultured bacterium. Its description in RNAcentral is "partial 16S ribosomal RNA". It matches the Rfam family "Bacterial small subunit ribosomal RNA", at positions 524 to 776 of the family's 1533-position model. The record is from RNAcentral.